GUUGCAGCCUUGCAGCCCAGGUUUGGCUGGACGCCGCGGGUCUCGGGGAAGGCUCUCCUCCGUCUCUCCGGGUGAGCAGCUGGCCUCACGUCGUGCCGUCAAAUCCGUGCACUGUCCAAAAAGCCAGUAACAGUGAACGCCCCCCAGCCAUUCGGUUUGGAGACCAGGUAUGACAUAAAGACAUUAUCUUCAGAAAUAAUCAUGAAAGAUAAUAGUAAUUAAAAAAGAAG
This 230-nucleotide long non-coding RNA is filed under the name Dasypus novemcinctus (nine-banded armadillo). RNAcentral's name for it is "lncRNA (ENSDNOG00000052306.1)". Lineage: Eukaryota; Metazoa; Chordata; Mammalia; Cingulata; Dasypodidae. The record is from RNAcentral.